Long non-coding RNA from Junco hyemalis (dark-eyed junco), 1557 nucleotides. The record is from Ensembl. Lineage: Eukaryota; Metazoa; Chordata; Aves; Passeriformes; Passerellidae.
GCCCACUCGCAUUUCCCCCAUCCCUGAGGUAUUUUCCUGUUCAUGGAUCCGUUAUUAUUUAAUAAAGGUUGGCUGAUGACGUCAGCAUCGCGUUUGUGACGUCAUAGGUGUGUCGGUGAUGUCAUUUCCUCGUUGAAACUCGUAGCGGUCCCCACUGUCAGCUGACAUUGCCCUUUUAAGGCAGCAUUGCCGUUUUAAUGGCAUUGCCCCUUUAAGGAUUUGUGGUCCCUACAGGUUGCAUUGCCCUUUUAAGACCUUCAAAAACUCCCCGAUUUUCCCCAAAAUUUCAAUUUUUAGCCCCAAAAUGUCAUUUCUUGAUUUCAUACUCACCAUUUCCACUCUAAAAAUCACAAUUUGGGCUUUUUUACUCCUCAAAUCUUCAUUUUUCCUCUCAAAAUCUGAGGUUUCACCCCCAAAAUCUCAUUUUUUCGCCAUGAGAUAACCCAAGAUCACCAUUUUUGCACCCAAAAUCAACAUUGUCCUUCCAAAGCAAACAUUUCCGCCCACAUUUAACCAUUUCACCUCCAAAGUCCAAACUUUUAGCCCCAAAAUUUAAAUUUCCCACUGCAAAAUCUUCAUUUUUAACCCUUUAUCCCCGAUUUUUCCUCCAAAAAUUAAUUUGAACCCCAAAAUCCCUAUUUUUAUCAUUUUUCUUCCCGUUUUCUUUCCCAAAUUCCAUUUCCUGACCCCAAAUUCUCAAUUUUUAUCCCCAAACCACCCAAUUUUUGCCCAAAUCCUUCACUUUUAACCCCAAAAUCUCUCAUUUCAUCCAUCGCCCCUUUAAGAGCGGUCCCCACCCGCCAUCACCGCUUUAAAAUCAUAGAGAAGUCCUCCAAGCCGGCUAGAGCGGCGGACUUCCGGCGGCGCUCCGCCCGCACUUCCGGUUUACUCACUGUUCCAAAAUGGCCGCCCCCUCCUUUUCCAAAAUGGCGGCGCCCGCAUUGGAGCGGAUCCUUUCGGAUCUCCUGGAACCCGACAGCGCCGGGAUCCGCCAGGCCACGGAGCGGCUGCGAGAGGCGCUGGAGGAGCCGGAGGGGCCCGAAGGCCUCGCGGAGCUGCUGAGGGGGGCGGGGAGGCCGCAGGUCUGAGGGCUAAAAAAUAGCAGGAAAAUUUGGAUUUUUAGGAUUUUAAACAAAAAAUUUGCGUGUUUUGGGGGGAAUUUUGCGGUUUUGGGGAAAAAUUGGGCGGUUUUGGGGGCAAUUUUGGCAUUUUUGCGGGAAGUUUGGGGAGUCCUGCGGUGAUUUUGGGAAGAUUUGCAGAUCCUGAGGGAAUUUGGGAGAUAAUUUUGGAAUUUUGGGGAAAAUUUCGGGAGAAUUUUGGGAUUUUGGGGUUUUACAGAGAAUUUAGGGAUUUUGAGGGGAUAAUUUGGGAAAUUUUGGGAUUUUGUGGGGAAUUUUUGGGUUUUGAAGGGGAAUUUGGGCAUCCUGAGGUGAUUUGGGAGGGAAUUUUGGGCAUUUGGGUCAAAAUUAGGAGGAAUUUGGAGGAUUUGGCUGGGAUUUUUCAUAUUUUGGGGAAAUUUGUGAAUCCUGAGGGGAUUUGAGGUAGAUUUUGGGGAAA